AAAUGGCUCAUCAAAUAAGAGUUUAAAUUAAAAUUAUAUAAACCGGGUUCAGCUAAAGUGCUACAGUACUCAAAUUCCAAAGCAUCUCAUGAAAUGACUGAUAUGUUAAUGCAAGCCCAGACAGCAAGCCAACAUUGAAUAAACAUUGUUUUUCCAUCUGAAUCAUCAUUAUGGUUGAUAUUGAAAUUUCAAUGCAAAAUAAAUGUUGAAUCACCAUUACCAUAUCGAUGAAAACCUGAUGUUAUUAAUGUUGAUGGCAACAAUAUUGGAACAACAUUGAUCUAUAGUUAUCUUUAUGAUUGAUUAAGCAUUGAUAUUUGGUUACCGGGUGAUCCCUGAAUGUGUUGAAAAGUCAUUGAUUUAUAGUGGACAGAGAAACGACGCGGUUGUUGAAAAGUCAUCGAAAUAUAGUUGACCGGGAAAUAUGAUUGAAAAUGCAUCGAAAUAUAGUUGACCGGGAAAUAUGAUUGAAAAUCCAUCGAUUUUUGGUGGACCGGGAGAUCAACGGGUGGUAUACCCAACGUACUGCACCGGACACAGCUCAUUUCUAGACACAAGCGUACAGAUCACUAUUGCACACCAAAUGCUCUUACUCAACAGAUGGGGACAGCUACCGUCACCCAAUUUUCUUUCGCACAAGCUGUGCAAAAGUGGCUGCGCUAUGCGCCAGACCGGGCAGGAGGGACUGGACGACAACUUAUGCAGGCAUCAGAUGACAAUGAAGUGUAAAUUAAGAGUAGAGAGGCUAAUAAACAUGAAUUUGAUUUUAAAUAGUGUGGUGUGUUCUGUGUUUUAUACAAGAUUUCAAAUGUUCCAUUACUUUUUAACAUCCUGGCUGUAGAUAAAGCAGGCUAUUUAAUUUAUGGCAUUACAUUUAAAAUUAACAUUUAAAAACGAUUGAAAUUCCAUUGAAAUCACGUUGAUCCUUAGUUCAGUUGAAAUUUCAACAUUGUUUCAAUAUUCCUGAUAAUUGAAAUACCAUUGAAAUUCCAUUGAUUUAUGGACAGAAUUUCAACAUUGUUUCAAUAUUAAAUCAGGGUGCAAAAUGAUGUUGAAUCAACAUCAGAGUUCGAUGUUGAUUCAAUGACUUAAUGUUGACAACGGAAUGUUGAUUCAACAUAGUUUCAAUGACUGUUUGCUAUCUGGGAGGAGACUCAGAGCCACAGGUUUUUGGCACCAAACACAACAAAACUCAACAUUAAUUUAUUUUCAAAAGGUUGUCAUGGAGAAAUGGGGGGGUGUACCAUAGACUGUAAAAAAAUAUGGACGUAGUAUCCGUGACGUCACCCAUAGACUUCUCAAUAGCGGUUUUGAAGCUCAAAGUGUGCAGAGCGGGCCGUCGCCAUCUUGGCAGCGCGUCACCGCGCGACUCUCCCGGAUAAUCGAAAAUGGGCAAAAAGGCGGGAGCUGGUUGCUGAAGCCACGCCCACCUAGCGCGACGGCAUUGUCAGCAGCGGCAAUCCACCUGUCACUCAAGUGACCACGCCCUUAAUUAUGCAGAACUUUAAGGCUUAAUAUAAUUUAAACGGAUGAGUUAUAAAAAAAUUCACCCCCCUCACAGUUGUCAUGAAGGGCAAAAUUAGCAAUAUAGACCAAAAUAAUUUUUUGAACCAGGCUGUAAACAUGUUUUUUUCUGCUGUAAAGUUGGGCAUUUUAACAUGGGGAGUCUAUGGGACUGACUCCCUUUUGCAGCCAGCCUCAAGCGGCCAGUCGAUGAAUUACAGUUUUAGUCACUUCCUAUGGAGUCAAUAUAAUAUCACAUAUAUACGCAAAAAAAUAAAGUUUUGCAAAGGAAAAUAAAGUUUUGCAAACAAAAAUUAAAGUAUUGAGGAAAAUAAUUUUGCUUUUUGCAAACAAAAAUAAAGAAUUGCAAAACAUAAAUGAUACAUGCGAA
Molecule: long non-coding RNA, 1894 nt
Organism: Cyprinus carpio carpio
Lineage: Eukaryota; Metazoa; Chordata; Actinopteri; Cypriniformes; Cyprinidae
Source: Ensembl